Molecule: small nucleolar RNA, 107 nt
Filed under: Olea europaea subsp. europaea
Lineage: Eukaryota; Viridiplantae; Streptophyta; Magnoliopsida; Lamiales; Oleaceae
Description: Plant small nucleolar RNA R71
Rfam family: Plant small nucleolar RNA R71
About the family: R71 is a member of the C/D box family of snoRNAs containing the C (UGAUGA) and D (CUGA) box motifs. Multiple nearly identical copies of this snoRNA have been identified in Arabidopsis, and it is thought to function as a 2'-O-ribose methylation guide for 18S ribosomal RNA.
Source: Rfam by way of RNAcentral
UAACCAUGGUGGGGGCAAAAGGCUUGUAAUUCUUUGUACUUUUUUCAUGCUUGAUAUAAAGUUUCGUUGUCCUUUUAUACAAAAGAAGAAAUUUUUUUUUAAAGCAG